GAAGCUGGAAUUGCUAGUAAUGGCAGGUCAGCAUACUGCCGUGAAUACGUUCCCGGGCCUUGUACACACCGCCCGUCACACCAUGAGAGUUGGAAAUACCCGAAGCCUGUGAGCUAACUUAAAGAGGCAGCAGUCGAAGGUAGAGCCAAUGAUUGGGGUGAAGUCGUAACAAGGUAUC
RNAcentral lists this ribosomal RNA (178 nucleotides) under uncultured bacterium. RNAcentral describes it as "partial 16S ribosomal RNA". It matches the Rfam family "Bacterial small subunit ribosomal RNA", at positions 1322 to 1500 of the family's 1533-position model. The record is from RNAcentral.